RNAcentral lists this unclassified non-coding RNA (283 nucleotides) under Hevea brasiliensis (rubber tree). Lineage: Eukaryota; Viridiplantae; Streptophyta; Magnoliopsida; Malpighiales; Euphorbiaceae. The record is from RNAcentral.
GCUGUAUUGCAUGUUAUAUGUGCUCGAGCCCUUUUUUUCUUUUAUUUUUGUGCUGUAAUUGUUCUUAUACUGUGUAUUUCUCCAGGUUUUUACACUUAACAUGUUUUGUCCUAGGUUGGGUGUUUUGAGGAGGUUUGAUGAUCUGAUAGCAGGUGAACGAUACAUGUUGAGUUUUUUCUUGAUAAUUAUUAUUGAUAAAAUUUCUGCUUAUAAAAAAACGUGCCAAACUCUCUCUCUCUCUGUUUUUCUUGUUUAAUUAUGUGUGUAGGUUCAUUGCUUUUAG